UGCAAGUCGUACGCUUCUUUUUCCACCGGAGCUUGCUCCACCGGAAAAAGAAGAGUGGCGAACGGGUGAGUAACACGUGGGUAACCUGCCCAUCAGAAGGGGAUAACACUUGGAAACAGGUGCUAAUACCGUAUAACAAUCGAAACCGCAUGGUUUUGAUUUGAAAGGCGCUUUCGGGUGUCGCUGAUGGAUGGACCCGCGGUGCAUUAGCUAGUUGGUGAGGUAACGGCUCACCAAGGCUACGAUGCAUAGCCGACCUGAGAGGGUGAUCGGCCACAUUGGGACUGAGACACGGCCCAAACUCCUACGGGAGGCAGCAGUAGGGAAUCUUCGGCAAUGGACGAAAGUCUGACCGAGCAACGCCGCGUGAGUGAAGAAGGUUUUCGGAUCGUAAAACUCUGUUGUUAGAGAAGAACAAGGAUGAGAGUAACUGUUCAUCCCUUGACGGUAUCUAACCAGAAAGCCACGGCUAACUACGUGCCAGCAGCCGCGGUAAUACGUAAGUGGCAAGCGUUGUCCGGAUUU
Molecule: ribosomal RNA, 525 nt
Filed under: Enterococcus durans
Lineage: Bacteria; Bacillati; Bacillota; Bacilli; Lactobacillales; Enterococcaceae
Description: bacterial SSU rRNA
Rfam family: Bacterial small subunit ribosomal RNA
Source: RNAcentral